GGUGACGAUGGCGAGAAGGAUACACCUGUUCCCAUGUCGAACACAGAAGUUAAGCUUCUUAGCGCCGAGAGUAGUUGGGGGA
Molecule: ribosomal RNA, 82 nt
Filed under: Lactiplantibacillus plantarum
Lineage: Bacteria; Bacillati; Bacillota; Bacilli; Lactobacillales; Lactobacillaceae
Source: RNAcentral